RNAcentral lists this ribosomal RNA (600 nucleotides) under uncultured bacterium. RNAcentral describes it as "bacterial SSU rRNA". It matches the Rfam family "Bacterial small subunit ribosomal RNA", at positions 884 to 1482 of the family's 1533-position model. The record is from RNAcentral.
GGUCGCAAGAUUAAAACUCAAAGAAAUUGACCGGGGACCCGCACAAGCGGUGGAGCAUGUGGCUUAAUUCGAUGCAACGCGAAGAACCUUACCUGGGCUUGACAUGUUUGUCGUAGAUUUGUGAAAGCUUAUCGUCACUUCGGGUGGACAAUCACAGGUGCUGCAUGGCUGUCGUCAGCUCGUGUCGUGAGAUGUCUGGUUAAGUCCAGCAACGAGCGCAACCCCUAUGGACUGUUGCCAGCACGUAAUGGUGGGGACUCUGUCCAGACUGCCCGUAUUAAACGGGAGGAAGGUGGGGAUGACGUCAAGUCAGUAUGGCCCUUACGCCCAGGGCUGCACACGUGCUACAAUGUCCAGUACAAUGUGAACCGAUACCGCGAGGUGGAGGAAAUCCUGAAAACUGGGCUCAGUUCGGAUUGUAGGCUGCAACUCGCCUACAUGAAGUUGGAAUCGCUAGUAAUGGCUCAUCAGCUACGGAGCCGUGAAUACGUUCCCGGGUCUUGUACACACCGCCCGUCACAUCAUGGAAGCCGCUCGCACCCAAAGUAUCUGCGCUAACUUCGGAAGCAGGGUCCUAAGGUGUAGGUGGUAACUGGGAUG